Molecule: ribosomal RNA, 431 nt
Filed under: soil bacterium 8V-12
Lineage: Bacteria
Description: bacterial SSU rRNA
Rfam family: Bacterial small subunit ribosomal RNA
Source: RNAcentral
UUUUNNUCAGGACGAACGCUGGCGGCGUGCCUAAUACAUGCAAGUCGAGCGGAGCACUUCGGUGCUUAGCGGCGGACGGGUGAGUAACACGUAGGUAACCUGCCUGUAAGACUGGGAUAACUAUCGGAAACGAUAGCUAAGACCGGAUAACUGGUUUUCUCGCAUGGGAGAAUCAUGAAACACGGAGYAAUCUGUGGCUUAUAGAUGGGCCUGCGGCGCAUUAGCUAGUUGGUGAGGUAACGGCUCACCAAGGCGACGAUGCGUAGCCGACCUGAGAGGGUGAACGGCCACACUGGGACUGAGACACGGCCCAGACUCCUACGGGAGGCAGCAGUAGGGAAUCUUCCGCAAUGGACGCAAGUCUGACGGAGCAACGCCGCGUGAGUGAUGAAGGUUUUCGGAUCGUAAAGCUCUGUUGCCCUAGACGAACA